GGGGUUGUUUAGACUCGACAGGGUGUACUUUCAAAAUAGGCAAGCCGACCUCGUUGGUAUGGUCGUAAAACUCGCCAUCACGAUGAUAAAUGCAAACUUCAUCACAAAGACAAAGAAUGCAAUUGCGCAAGCUUUUGCCCCUUCUUUCGCUCUUGCUCUCGCCUAAUUUACUUUAGCGCGUAGCCAUCAGAAUCCGGAUUCUCGAUACGGAAUCUCUGGUGUCAUAACAUCGAGACGACGCGAGGUUAUUUUUUUUCUUUCGAUCUCAACUUGUACUGCAAAAAGGAAAGACUGUAUGAGAAUUUUGUCUGCUUUCUACCUCAUAUUUUUAUACAAAGCACUCUAAGCUUGUAGAAUAUUUUGGAAAAACAUUUCUGGACAUGGGUGCAAUUCCCAUCAACUCCACAU
RNAcentral lists this transfer-messenger RNA (408 nucleotides) under Candidatus Moranbacteria bacterium CG2_30_41_165. It matches the Rfam family "transfer-messenger RNA". Rfam says of the family: Bacterial tmRNA, also known as 10Sa RNA or SsrA, is named for its dual tRNA and mRNA-like properties. Its role is to liberate the mRNA from a stalled ribosome. To accomplish this part of the tmRNA is used as a reading frame that ends in a translation stop signal. Lineage: Bacteria; Candidatus Moraniibacteriota. The record is from RNAcentral. RNAcentral also lists the same sequence under 7 other names.